RNAcentral lists this ribosomal RNA (483 nucleotides) under uncultured bacterium. RNAcentral's name for it is "partial 16S ribosomal RNA". It matches the Rfam family "Bacterial small subunit ribosomal RNA", at positions 30 to 506 of the family's 1533-position model. The record is from RNAcentral.
AUUGAACGCUGGCGGCAGGCCUAACACAUGCAAGUCGAGCGGAUGAAGGGAGCUUGCUCCUGGAUUCAGCGGCGGACGGGUGAGUAAUGCCUAGGAAUCUGCCUGGUAGUGGGGGAUAACGUCCGGAAACGGGCGCUAAUACCGCAUACGUCCUGAGGGAGAAAGUGGGGGAUCUUCGGACCUCACGCUAUCAGAUGAGCCUAGGUCGGAUUAGCUAGUUGGUGGGGUAAAGGCCUACCAAGGCGACGAUCCGUAACUGGUCUGAGUGGAUGAUCAGUCACACUGAAACUGAGACACGGUCCAGACUCCUACGGAAGGCAGCAGUGGGGAAUAUUGGACAAUGGGCGAAAGCCUGAUCCAGCCAGGCCGCGUGUGUGAAGAAGGUCUUCGGAUUGUAAAGCACUUUAAGUUGGGAGAAAGGGCAGUAAGUUAAUACCUUGCUGUUUUGACGUAACCAACAGAAUAAGCACCGGCUAACUCCGU